RNAcentral lists this ribosomal RNA (497 nucleotides) under uncultured bacterium. Its description in RNAcentral is "partial 16S ribosomal RNA". It matches the Rfam family "Bacterial small subunit ribosomal RNA", at positions 28 to 508 of the family's 1533-position model. The record is from RNAcentral.
GAUGAACGCUGGCGGCGUGCCUAAUACAUGCAAGUCGAGCGAACAGACGAGGAGCUUGCUCCUUCGACGUUAGCGGCGGACGGGUGAGUAACACGUAGGUAACCUACCUAUAAGACUGGGAUAACUUCGGGAAACCGGAGCUAAUACCGGAUAAUAUUUCGAACCGCAUGGUUCGAUAGUGAAAGAUGGCUUUGCUAUCACUUAUAGAUGGACCUGCGCCGUAUUAGCUAGUUGGUAAGGUAACGGCUUACCAAGGCAACGAUACGUAGCCGACCUGAGAGGGUGCCGGCCCACACGAGAACGGAGACAGGGCCCAGACUCCUACGGGGGGGGGAAGUGGGGAUCCUCCCGAAAAGGGGGAAGCCCUGACGGAGCAACGCCGGGGGAUGAAGGAGGUUCUGCGGAUCUAAAACCUUUUUAAUGGGGAAAAAACAAAGGGGAAGGUAACUGUGCGCGCCUGGAGGUUCCAUAAUAAAAAGGCCAGGGCUAACUCGGGC